AAAAUUGAUGUUUUUAAAUAUUUAUUUCUGUAUUUUUGUUGCUGCUGAAUUGCAUAAAGUUUAAUUUAUGUUUUAAAUACUUUUUGCAGCCAUGAUUCUGUUGUGUGUACUUUGUGAGAAGAUUAUGUUGAUGAAUUUCUAAGUCAAAUUGAUCCAAAUGUCAAACAAAUUCCAGUAGUGCUAAUUCAAUUUUGCAGGCCAAUCUCAUACCAGGGGGAGGUAAGAAUCUCUACUUCUUACAAAGACACUCCGGAAAUGAAUGAGUUCAGACAGAGAAUUUUUGGAAACAUUCGAUUCUUCGAAACUGCAAACAUAACUUUCAACCAUGAAUCCAAGAGGAUGGUUGAUGAGACUGAAAAUCUGGAGGUGAAAUCUAUUGAAGAGGUGUUUUGCUUGGAGG
Molecule: long non-coding RNA, 400 nt
Organism: Salvia miltiorrhiza (redroot sage)
Lineage: Eukaryota; Viridiplantae; Streptophyta; Magnoliopsida; Lamiales; Lamiaceae
Exons: 3
Source: RefSeq, a predicted model, not a curated record